Molecule: ribosomal RNA, 292 nt
Filed under: uncultured eukaryote
Lineage: Eukaryota
Description: partial 18S ribosomal RNA
Rfam family: Eukaryotic small subunit ribosomal RNA
Source: RNAcentral
GGUUGAUCCUGCCAGUAGUCAUAUGCUUGUCUCAAAGAUUAAGCCAUGCAUGUUUAAGUAUAAGCUGUAUUUUAUACCGGUGAAACUGCGAAUGGCUCAAUACAUCAGUUAUAAUUUCCUUGAUGGUGAGUGUACUACUCGGAUACCCGUAGUAAUUCUAGAGCUAAUACGUGCGUACAAGGUUUAUUGUUCCUUUUGGGAGCAGUAGAUCCGUAUUUAUCAGAUCUUUUGAACCAACGAUAUGUGGUGAAUCAUGAUAACUGUUCGAAUUGUUUUUUCGGAAACAAUAUUU